Molecule: ribosomal RNA, 1822 nt
Filed under: Clostridioides difficile
Lineage: Bacteria; Bacillati; Bacillota; Clostridia; Peptostreptococcales; Peptostreptococcaceae
Description: bacterial LSU rRNA
Rfam family: Bacterial large subunit ribosomal RNA
Source: RNAcentral
CCCUCCAAGGCUAAAUACUACCUAGUGACCGAUAGCGUAUAGUACCGUGAGGGAAAGGUGAAAAGAACCCCGGGAGGGGAGUGAAAUAGAACCUGAAACCCUGCACUUACAAGCUGUGGAAGCACAUUUCUUGUGUGACCGCGUACUUUUUGUAGAACGGGCCAACGAGUUACGUUAAGUAGCAAGGUUAAGCACUUAAGGUGUGGAGCCGUAGCGAAAGCGAGUUUUAACUGAGCGUUCAGUUACUUGACGUAGACCCGAAACCGGGCGACCUACCCAUGAGCAGGAUGAAGCGAAAGUAAAAUUUCGUGGAGGUCCGAACCCACGAGCGUUGAAAAGCUCGGGGAUGACUUGUGGGUAGCGGUGAAAUUCCAAUCGAGCCCGGAGAUAGCUGGUUCUCCCCGAAAUAGCUUUAGGGCUAGCCUCAAGGUGAGAGAUACGGAGGUAGAGCACUGAAUGUCCUAGGGGGUAUUGCACCUACCGAAGACUAUCAAACUCCGAAUGCCGUCAUCUUAUACUUGGGAGUCAGACUGUGGGUGAUAAGAUUCAUAGUCGAAAGGGCAACAGCCCAGAUCGUCAGCUAAGGUCCCUAAAUGUAAGUUAAGUGGUAAAGGAUGUGGGAUUGCACAGACAACCAGGAUGUUGGCUUAGAAGCAGCCACUCAUUCAAAGAGUGCGUAAUAGCUCACUGGUCGAGUGAUCCUGCGCCGAAGAUUUCCGGGGCUAAAACUUACUACCGAAGCUACGGCAUCAGUAAUGAUGGGUAGGGGAGCUUCCCAUACGGGUUGAAGCAUGACCGUAAGGACAUGUGGACAGUAUGGGAGUGAGAAUGUUGGCAUGAGUAGCGAGAUGUGGGUGAGAAUCCCACAGGCCGUAAACCCAAGGUUUCCAGGGGAAGGUUCGUCCGCCCUGGGUUAGUCGGGACCUAAGCUGAGGCCGAAAGGCGUAGGUGAUGGACAACAGGUUGAUAUUCCUGUACUACCGAUAACCGUUUGAGAGAAGGGAUGACACAGUAGGAUAAGCUAAGCACACUGUUGGUUAUGUGUGCCCAAGCAUUGAGGCAGUCAAAGUAGGCAAAUCCGCUUUGAUAAUGCUGGGAUGUGAUGGGGAGCGAAAUUUAGUAGCGAAGUAGCUGAUUUCACACUGUCAAGAAAAGUCUCUAUCGAGGUUAAAGGUACCCGUACCGCAAACCGACACAGGUGGGUGAGGAGAGUAUCCUAAGGCCAGCGAGAGAACUGUUGUUAAGGAACUCGGCAAAAUGACCCCGUAACUUAGGGAUAAGGGGUGCCACCAUCAGGUGGCCGCAGAGAAUAGGCCCAAGCGACUGUUUACCAAAAACAUAGGUUUCUGCUAAGUCGCAAGACGAUGUAUAGGAGCUGACGCCUGCCCGGUGCUGGAAGGUUAAGGGGAUCUGUUAGAGCAAUCGAAGCAGUGAACUUAAGCCCCAGUAAACGGCGGCCGUAACUAUAACGGUCCUAAGGUAGCGAAAUUCCUUGUCGGGUAAGUUCCGACCCGCACGAAAGGCGUAACGAUUUGGGCACUGUCUCAACAACAGACUCGGUGAAAUUGUAAUUCCGGUGAAGAUGCCGGAUACCUGCGACAGGACGGAAAGACCCCAUGGAGCUUUACUGUAGCUUGACAUUGGGUCUUGGUACUACAUGUACAGGAUAGGUGGGAGGCUUUGAAACCAGGACGCCAGUUUUGGCGGAGCCAUCCUUGGGAUACCACCCUUGUAGUACUGGGACUCUAACCAUAGGCCAUGAAUCUGGUCUUGGGACACUGUCAGGUGGGCAGUUUGACUGGGGCGGUCGCCUCCCAAAAGG